Molecule: unclassified non-coding RNA, 331 nt
Filed under: Hevea brasiliensis (rubber tree)
Lineage: Eukaryota; Viridiplantae; Streptophyta; Magnoliopsida; Malpighiales; Euphorbiaceae
Source: RNAcentral
AAAUCAAAAGAAAGCACAUGGUUUACAACAUAAAAAACAUGCAAAGCAACAAAGAAACAAAAGACCAAAGUAAUUAAUGAAAAACAAAACCACAACCUAAACAAACCACAAUAUUUUUCAGGCUGUUAUUGAGCAUGUAAGACAAGGAAAAUCACAUAGUUACCUCAUAAGGAGUUAGUUGCACCCAUGAGUGAUAUAAAUACUACCAUUGCUUUAACUUUACUUUUUUGUCAUUAAGCCUUAAUUAUUUUCAUGGUUGUACUUCAACUUCAUGUGUUACUACAAUUAAUAUUAUUAUUUUUAAAUUCUCAUAAUUGUCUUUCCAUUGUUU